Molecule: RNA transcript, 3427 nt
Organism: Spinacia oleracea (spinach)
Lineage: Eukaryota; Viridiplantae; Streptophyta; Magnoliopsida; Caryophyllales; Amaranthaceae
Exons: 10
Source: RefSeq, a predicted model, not a curated record
UAUCAUUUAUCAUUUGUGCCCUCCUCUAACUCUCGUGUUCACUCCUCCUUGCCUCGGUGCCUCCCUUCUCCCUCCUCCCUACUUCCUACUUGCCUUCUUCUUUUCCUUUCACCCGUGGUUCUUCCAUUGAUGGUUUUUCAGCAAACCCUAGAUCUCACUCAAUCUCCUACGCCCCCAUUUUCUCUCUCCUCUCCUCUCCCUCCUUCUUUCUUUAUCCAUUUUCUUCUUCGCUACAUCUAUCUCACUCCACAAUAACUGAAUAUGGCGGCUGAUAUCCUUGAUUGUGGUUAGGGUUUUCUCGUUCUUCUUCUUUCAAGGUUAACUGGAAGUAGACGAAGAUAAUGGACAAGGUAGAUUUCCAGCCAAAGGAAGGAGAUAAUGCUAAAACUAAGCUUGAAAAUCACUAGGAUACUCUUGGCUGAGAUGGCUUGAGCUGAGGAAGCUAAGAAACUCUAGGCUUAUAUUAAAGUGAAGGAUUUGCUCAAGAUCCCAACAAGCGUAACAUAAAAUGUGACAAGCUGUUGCAUUCCAUUGUUCGUGUAGAUACGAUCAACAAGUUCCAGAUGAAUAAAUCUCUCUAUAAGCAUGUAUGUCCGCUCAAUCAGAAGAAGUUUGCAGGCAAGCUGUGCUGUUAUUGGGGAAUCGGUGUCAAAAUUUCUUUUAAUAUAUUCACCCAAUCUUAUGGUGUACUUUCAAAUUGCAAGAUGUUAUGUGUGCGUUCUUGAUCCAACCAGUUACUAAUCAACGAGAUUAGUCAGGAAAAGUUUCCCUUGUUGGUCAAAGAAAGCGGUGAAGUUUUAAAGGUGAAGCUAAAAGGCUAAACAAAAUAGCCAAGUGUUGUUCAAGGUCAGGGAAAGAAGGCCAUCUUAAUUGCGGUGUGGAUGCUGAGGGUGAUCAACAUUUUCAAGGGACUCCGUCAUGUCGAGAAGAGAAGUCAGCAGGCUUAAAAUUUUCAGUCAUUACCUCAGUAAUUAUGGAUUUAGAGAAUUUUUCAAGCGCUGCGGAAUUCAAAUCUCUAACCAGGAGUGAGCUUAAUGAGGUUAUAGUUCUCUGUUGUCAAGUUUUUGGGUUGAGCUUCUCCAGGAGUGAGCUUAAUGAGAGAUGAUGAAUGGGAUGUAAAUAAAUGGGCAUGGGAGGGAGUCUUGAAAGUUAUUAGCAAGGGAGAAGAGUGCAUAAUCAGACUUGAGGAUAAGUCAACAGGUGAACUCUAUGCUCGGGCUUUUUUGAGAAAAGGAGAGCCACAUCAUGUGGAAACUGUAAUUGAUAGUAGCAGAUACCUUUUGCUUCGAAUAGAAGAGAAAACAGAUAUCUCGAUAACAAGAAAACUGCUGAAGAAAUGGAGCAGCAAUUCCAGAAUUCUUCAGCCAUUGAUUACAGUUUGAAAGAUGGAGAGACCCUUGUUCUUCAGUUAAAAUAAGUAAGCUCGCUAUUUGUCUGUUUCCUCACUGAUUAAAUAAAUAAUUUGCUACUCGAAUGAAUGAUAAUCUGUUUAUGCUCAACAUUUUAUUAUUAGAAACCUGGUGGCAAUAUAAAUCUGAAAUCCAUUGAUGAGGGUGUGAACAACCUAUGAAUAACAGAUAAAAGUAAAGCUAAAGAGCCCUUGUUUUCUAUCAGACCACCUCCUCCUCCACCAGGGGCGGACCUACAUGGAACUUGAGGGGACCAAAGGGACCCCCAUUUUCUGAAAAAAUUAAACCAGGAAUCUAUAUAUUCUUGCUUAAUGUCCGCUCAGAAUAAUAAUAAAUUGGUGUAGCUUAGUGGUUAAUCUACUUGCUGUUACUCUAUCCUUUGAACGCAGAAGUCAUGUGUUCGAGUCCCGACCCUACACUCUUCAAAGCUGUUACACUUUUUUCCUUACCCGUGACCAUUCAUCUUCAUGGUUUCUUACUUUCUAAAAUGUUUUUGGCUUUAUUUUUUAUUUUUACCAUUUUCUGAUUUUUUCAUGAUUUAUUUCUUGCUCUUUUUUUGUUUUUUUCUUCUGAUUUUAGUACUGUAUUUAUAUUUUAUAAUUGCUUAAUUUCAUUGCAUUUUUUAGGGGUCUAAUUAUAUAAUAACAAUAUGGCCCAUAAAUAUUGAAAAAGGUGCAACUUUUUUUAUACAAUGGUGUAGUUUUGUCAUUCUUUUUGUUAGUAAUUUGUAAUGAAUCAGAUUUCUUAUAACAUGUAAAAACUCAUCGUAUACACUCGUAAUAAUUUUUUUCUUGAGAUGAAUCGCUGUAAAUUAUUGUUUGGACUGAUAUAUUGAUUUCUAUUGCUCUUAAGCCUACACAAAAAUUCCUAAAUCUUCACUGCAUAAUUUUGUUAUGGAUAUUAAGAAAAUUUAUUACCUAACGUUCCCCAAUUCCCCUUAACAAAAGGGGCAAAAUAGAAGGAUAAGCAAUUUUGUUUUUUUAAAAAAGUAAAAAGUUGGACCCCCAUUUCUAUAUUACUGAGUCCACCACAGUCCUCCACCACCAACCCUCUCACCAACUUCUUCUCCUAAAACUCCUAGAUCCCCAAGUUCUAAUCCUAAUAAAAUAUUCGAAGAGGAGAAAGAAGAUCCCAGUAAAGAGCAGGUUCAACCUGAUUUUAAUUUUAAGGAAAAUCAAAGUUCAGAAGAUACAACAGAUGAGGAAUUUAGGGAUUUUCAAGCAGCUGGCUGAUUUUUUAACUUGUAUAAAUAAACUUCUGUUCAUAAAUGAAAUUUCUUUCGGACAAGGCUGGUGUACAUUGUGCAUGAUCAAGUGUUGAUCCAAAGUCUAUGCUAUGCGAAUUUUUAAGGCAGGGCAGUGUUCAGAAGGUGAGGAAAGGAGAAAAGAUUGACAUUUACACAGAUGUGUGGUGAUGGUGAGUAGUUAAAUUGUUAAUUUUUGGCUUAACCCAACUUUUUCGCUCGUUUAUGUGAUUGAUAGUUGAUACACGACAUACAACGGGAAACAGGUACAAGAUAAACCUAUGGAUGAUAGGAAGACAGAACAAGUUGGGUUAAUAUGUUCUUUGUAAUUAUUUUUGUGGAGAUGGGGGGGGGGGGGGGGGGGUUAGGGGUGACUUUUAUAUACUCUUAUUCAGAGUUGGGUCUAAUCUACUCAGCGCACUCUGUGCUGCUCAUAUCACUUAGUUUUUGGUUGUGUCAGCUGUUCUUAGUUGUUUUUCAAAGUACUAGCAACACUGGUGCCACAGUUCUAUUCUCCGAAGUGUGCUGAUGUUUUUGUGUUCAAGCUUGCAUGAAGUUUGCUGGUCCGUGGCAGUGCAACAAGUUAGCUCAGGGUUGCCAAGUCUGGUUGUCUGUUGCUUGUUGUGUUUGUUGCUCCGUGAAGUUUUAACCAAAGUGGUCAGGUUGACUUGGUGUGGUGUUGUUUGCUAUAAAAACAUAGUCCCAAUGACUUUGCAUAAUGGCCCCAGAAUUGUUGUAACUGAUUUCUUAUUUAUAUACCUCAUGUGUUUGCAUA